GCAGGCUGUCGAGAAUUAGUUCUUGAAUACUGUUGUGGUUUGAUCACUAAAAUGCCCUGUGACUUUUGGACUCUCUUUGAGUGUUUCUUGGAUUUGUUGCCUGCUAAUUGGAGGGAUAACUUGUUUUACACUUAAAGGUAAUGCUCAUGGGCAUCCUACCUACACUGGACCUGAACCAACUGGAUCCUAUGCCCAAGCAAGUGUGGUGUCUGGUCCAAAUGCUAAAGCUACUGGCCAAAAUGCAACGUCAGCAGAAGCUACUGGCCACAAUGCCACGUCCAG
Oncorhynchus kisutch (coho salmon) is the source of this 282-nucleotide long non-coding RNA. RefSeq lists it as uncharacterized. Lineage: Eukaryota; Metazoa; Chordata; Actinopteri; Salmoniformes; Salmonidae. The transcript has 3 exons. The record is from RefSeq and is a predicted model, not a curated record.